RNAcentral lists this ribosomal RNA (254 nucleotides) under uncultured Gigaspora. RNAcentral describes it as "partial 18S ribosomal RNA". It matches the Rfam family "Eukaryotic small subunit ribosomal RNA", at positions 624 to 886 of the family's 1831-position model. The record is from RNAcentral. Lineage: Eukaryota; Fungi; Glomeromycota; Glomeromycetes; Diversisporales; Gigasporaceae.
AAGCUCGUAGUUGAAUUUCGGGUUCUACCGUUGGUCGGGCAAUAGUCUGUACUGGCGUGUAGAAUUUCUACCUUCUGGGGAACCAUCAUGUUAUUUAUUUAGCGUGGUGGGAAACCAGGACCUUUACCUUGAAAAAAUUAGAGUGUUCAAAGCAGGCUUACGUCUGAAUACAUUAGCAUGGAAUAAUAAAAUAGGACGGUGGUCCUGUUUUGUCGGUUUCUGAAUCACCGUAAUGAUUAAUAGGGAUAGUUGGG